Molecule: ribosomal RNA, 484 nt
Filed under: uncultured bacterium
Lineage: Bacteria
Description: partial 16S ribosomal RNA
Rfam family: Bacterial small subunit ribosomal RNA
Source: RNAcentral
AUUGAACGCUGGCGGCAGGCCUAACACAUGCAAGUCGAGCGGAUGAAGGGAGCUUGCUCCUGGAUUCAGCGGCGGACGGGUGAGUAAUGCCUAGGAAUCUGCCUGGUAGUGGGGGAUAACGUCCGGAAACGGGCGCUAAUACCGCAUACGUCCUGAGGGAGAAAGUGGGGGAUCUUCGGACCUCACGCUAUCAGAUGAGCCUAGGUCGGAUUAGCUAGUUGGUGGGGUAAAGGCCUACCAAGGCGACGAUCCGUAACUGGUCUGAGAGGAUGAUCAGUCACACUGGAAGUGAGACAAGGUCCAGACUCCUACGGGACGCAGCAGUGGGGAAUAUUGGACAAUGGGGGAAAGCAUGAUCCAGCCAUGCCGAGUGUGUGAAGAAGGUCUUCGGAUUGUAAAGCACUCUAAGUUGGGAGGAAGGGCAGUAAGUUAAUACCUUGCUGUUUUGACGUUACCAACAGAAUAAGCACCGGCUAACUUCGUG